RNAcentral lists this transfer RNA (74 nucleotides) under Methanoculleus methanifontis. RNAcentral's name for it is "tRNA-Val". It matches the Rfam family "tRNA". From Rfam's summary of the family: Transfer RNA (tRNA) molecules are approximately 80 nucleotides in length. Their secondary structure includes four short double-helical elements and three loops (D, anti-codon, and T loops). The record is from RNAcentral. Lineage: Archaea; Methanobacteriati; Methanobacteriota; Methanomicrobia; Methanomicrobiales; Methanomicrobiaceae.
GGGCUCGUGGUCUAGCUGGUUAUGACGUCGCCUUCACACGGCGGAGAUCGCCGGUUCAAAUCCGGCCGAGCCCA